GAGCCUCUCAAUAGUUCCCGGAAGUAGCAGCAAACACAUGCCGCGCCGUAGAGAUGCAGCAGAAUUCUCGAAUAAACCGUUUGCGACGCACUUUUAAAAGGACCUGUAUAUAUGCGCUGGUAGAUGGAGGAUUAGUGAUGCCACAGGACUGUUCUGUGAUGGAGCAUCAGUGAUGAUGCAGGUCAGGAGUGCUGCGGUCCUAUAGUGCCAUACAAAAGUGGGGAAGCCAUACAUUUGCACACCUUUCUCUGAGCGAUUGGAGCAUCCCCAUGCAGCACAGCAAACCAUGGUGAAGACUAUGCAACGAGAACAUGAAAGAAAGGACACAUACAAAAUGCUUGGCAUGCC
This is a long non-coding RNA of Xyrauchen texanus (razorback sucker), 348 nucleotides long. RefSeq lists it as uncharacterized. The record is from RefSeq and is a predicted model, not a curated record. The transcript is spliced from 3 exons. NCBI's taxonomy places the organism in Eukaryota, Metazoa, Chordata, Actinopteri, Cypriniformes, Catostomidae.